RNAcentral lists this ribosomal RNA (500 nucleotides) under uncultured bacterium. RNAcentral's name for it is "partial 16S ribosomal RNA". It matches the Rfam family "Bacterial small subunit ribosomal RNA", at positions 29 to 523 of the family's 1533-position model. The record is from RNAcentral.
AUUGAACGCUGGCGGAAUGCUUUACACAUGCAAGUCGAACGGCAGCACGGGGGCAACCCUGGUGGCGAGUGGCGAACGGGUGAGUAAUACAUCGGAACGUGCCCAGUCGUGGGGGAUAACGUAGCGAGAGUUACGCUAAUACCGCAUACGAUCUACGGAUGAAAGCGGGGGACCGUAAGGCAUCGCGCGAUUGGAGCGGCCGGUGUCAGCUGAGGUCGUUGGGGAGGUAAAGGCUCACAAAGCCGACGAUCUGUAGCUGGUCUGAGAGGACGACCAGCGACACUGGGACGGAGAAACGGCCAAGACUCCUACGGGAGGCAGCAGUGGGGAAUUUUGGACAAUGGGCGCAAGCCUGAUCCAGCCAUUCCGCGUGCAGGACGAAGGCCUUCGGGUUGUAAACUGCUUUUGUACGGAACGAAAAGGCUCUGGUUAAUACCUGGGGCUCAUGACGGUACCGUAAGAAUAAGCACCGGCUAACUACGUGCCAGCCGCCGCCGUAA